AUUGAACGCUGGCGGCAUGCCUUACACAUGCAAGUCGAACGGCAGCACGGGUGCUUGCCCCUGGUGGCGAGUGGCGAACGGGUGAGUAAUACAUCGGAACAUGUCCUGUAGUGGGGGAUAGCCCGGCGAAAGCCGGAUUAAUACCGCAUACGAUCUACGGAUGAAAGCGGGGGACCUUCGGGCCUCGCGCUAUCGGGUUGGCCGAUGGCUGAUUAGCUAGUUGGUGGGGUAAAGGCCUACCAAGGCGACGAUCAGUAGCUGGUCUGAGAGGACGACCAGCCACACUGGGACUGAGACACGGCCCAGACUCCUACGGGAGGCAGCAGUGGGGAAUUUUGGACAAUGGGCGAAAGCCUGAUCCAGCAAUGCCGCGUGUGUGAAGAAGGCCUUCGGGUUGUAAAGCACUUUUGUCCGGAAAGAAAUCCUUGGCCCUAAUACGGUCGGGGGAUGACGGUACCGGAAGAAUAAGCACCAGCUAACUACGUG
This 486-nucleotide ribosomal RNA is filed under the name uncultured bacterium. RNAcentral describes it as "partial 16S ribosomal RNA". It matches the Rfam family "Bacterial small subunit ribosomal RNA", at positions 30 to 507 of the family's 1533-position model. The record is from RNAcentral.